UUGCAAGUCGAACGGCAGCGGCGGGAGCAAUCCUGGCGGCGAGUGGCGAACGGGUGAGAAAUACAUCGGAACGUGCCCAAUCGUGGGGGAUAACGCAGCGAAAGCUGUGCUAAUACCGCAUACGAUCUACGGAUGAAAGCAGGGGACCGCAAGGCCUUGCGCGAAUGGAGCGGCCGAUGGCAGAUUAGGUAGUUGGUGAGGUAAAGGCUCACCAAGCCUUCGAUCUGUAGCUGGUCUGAGAGGACGACCAGCCACACUGGGACUGAGACACGGCCCAGACUCCUACGGGAGGCAGCAGUGGGGAAUUUUGGACAAUGGGCGCAAGCCUGAUCCAGCCAUGCCGCGUGCAGGAUGAAGGCCUUCGGGUUGUAAACUGCUUUUGUACGGAACGAAACGGCCUUUUCUAAUAAAGAGGGCUAAUGACGGUACCGUAAGAAUAAGCACCGGCUAACUACGUGCCAGCAGCCGCGGUAAUACGUAGGGUGCAAGCGUUAAUCGGAAUUACUGGGCGUAAAGCGUGCGCAGGCGGUGAUGUAAGACAGUUGUGAAAUCCCCGGGCUCAACCUGGGAACUGCAUCUGUGACUGCAUCGCUGGAGUACGGCAGAGGGGGAUGGAAUUCCGCGUGUAGCAGUGAAAUGCGUAGAUAUGCGGAGGAACACCGAUGGCGAAGGCAAUCCCCUGGGCCUGUACUG
Molecule: ribosomal RNA, 693 nt
Filed under: Variovorax sp. R53(2010)
Lineage: Bacteria; Pseudomonadati; Pseudomonadota; Betaproteobacteria; Burkholderiales; Comamonadaceae
Description: bacterial SSU rRNA
Rfam family: Bacterial small subunit ribosomal RNA
Source: RNAcentral